Non-coding RNA from Hydra vulgaris (swiftwater hydra), 1194 nucleotides. Lineage: Eukaryota; Metazoa; Cnidaria; Hydrozoa; Anthoathecata; Hydridae. The record is from RefSeq and is a predicted model, not a curated record.
AAAGAAGAAAUAGUGGUGGCCCCUAUUACAAAUUUGCUUUAUUUUCAUCACUAAAGUGAUGAAACUAAAGCAAAUUUGAAUAUCCGUUUUUAUUGAGUUUCCAUUCACAAUAAAAAUUUCAAAAAUGAUUCAGCUAUUGAUCCAAACGCCUUUUUACAUGAAACUAAAAGAGUCAAUUGAGAAAAUGUUGCUUGCUGAUAAAGAUGUUAAUUUAGCCCAAUGGGCUCGCAUCUUAGUCCAAAAUCAUUGGCCUGAAAACAUAAACACUCAGGUGACAUUUGGAGAAACUGAAAUCAGAAACCUGUCAUUAAGACUACAGUUAAAUAAAAGAGAAAUGAUUCGUUGAUUUUGUGAAUACCUUGCAGAACAAAUAUAUCCUGAAAAUUUAGUUUAUUUAGCACACACUCUACGUACUAUCCCCAUUUCCUCAAGUAAAUGCGAAUGAGAGUUUUCACAGAUGAGUCUAAUCAUCACACAAACAAGGGCUUCAUUAAUGACAAAAACAGUUUCAAUGUUGUUAUUCAUAAAAUUAGUGAAACCACCGCUAACAAGCUUUGAUCCUUCAAAGUACGUUGAUUCGUGGUUACUUAGCGGAAGGCAUUCAGCAUUAGACACUAAGAGCAAGGAAAGGAGAUAAGAGGAUAUGUACAACGAAAAUUUGAAAAAACUAUGGGAUUUGUUAUAGAAGUUUAUAGUUUUGUAAAGUUUGUAUUUUAUAUACAGUGACAUGACCCAUCACUCUACUCAUCCCCUACCCAAAAAAAAACUGUCAUUAUUUAAAAAAAAGCUUCAUUUAUUGGAAAAUGGUUUCUUAUAUUUGUUCCCGCCUUUAUGGGUAUGAUAUGCAGGGGAGCCUACCAAAGGUUAUAUAUAUAAAAUUUAUUCACAAAUUAAAUUACUGAUUUCUGCCUUAUUUUUGAAAUAUAAAGGAAAAUACAUAUGUUUUGCAGUUUAUGACGUAUAAUUCAUUGUUAGAUGCUAUACAGACAUACGAAGAAGAAAUGAUUACAAAGUAUCGUGUCGCAAAGGAAUCAAAAGAUUUUUCAAAAGAUGAUAAUUCUUCAAACGACUGCGACUUCAGAAAUCUCACGUUAAUUCGUACAUCUAGUUUCAAGGAAAAACAUUUAUAUAUUGGACAAUGGAUUUAACACUAGAAAACUUUUUUUAUAAUUGAUGACAUAUUUUUAUAAACAU